Molecule: long non-coding RNA, 736 nt
Organism: Silurus meridionalis
Lineage: Eukaryota; Metazoa; Chordata; Actinopteri; Siluriformes; Siluridae
Exons: 3
Source: RefSeq, a predicted model, not a curated record
UUAGGUAAUGCAGCACAACGCUGGCUCUCGCUGAAUAGAAAGCGCUUUAUUAUUGUUAUGAUUGUUGCACUGCUGUCAUCGGCCUGGCUGAGGGGAAAAAAAAGCCUUGCAGAAACAGGAUCAGCUCCUUUAUGCUCCACAUGUAAACGCUGCUCUUCGAAGGGCAUUCUGUUUAGUGUAGAGUCUGUGUUCACGUUCUAAAAUUAUACACGCUUUUACGAGGAGUUUGGAAGCAGAGCGCCUUGAAUGAAUUAGUGAAUGUUUGCCCUGGAUUCUUCUGAUUAAUACAGCUAAGGGUUAAAUGUCUAUCACGAGGGUGCCGUGUACAGCACCAUGGCAGUGCUGGGACUUGAACUCACAACCUUCUUCUUACAGGUCCUUGUAUCCACGGAGCUUCCACUUCGUAUUAAGGAUGGAUAAAGAUGGCAGAUGCGGAAGAGGAAUUCCCGGCAGAACCGCGCAACGCCUUCUACACAUGAUUCUAAAGGAGUUACCAGUGAUCAUGUCCCCGUCUGCUCUCUGGACCUUCCUGAUCCUUCCUGAUGCUUUACCUGUGGAUGGAGUACUCUUCAGAUAGAGACAACUCUGUACUCUCGCUGAGGAAGUUGUCCACACGAACGGUCUAAAGAUUCUUCUUCUUUUUCUGGUGCUCCCAUUAGGGGUCUCCACAGCGGAUCCAGAUCCGUCUCCAUACCCCCCUGUCUUCUACAUCUGCCUCUUUCAAACCAACUACCUG